CGUCUCACCGUCACGAAACGUCCCAGAACAUCGAGUUUGUAGACAUUUUAACAGUCAAUAUCUUUUUAGUUAGGUCGAUAACUCCAAACUUUUUUGAUAUAUUCUGAAUCCUUACGAUUUGGAGAACAAUACUCUAUUUUUUUGUUUAUUUCUGUUGCGUAAGUGCAUAUAUAUCCCUUAGAACACGCGUUUUGAGAGUGACUCUUCCAUAAGACCCGUGUUAAAAAUCCUAACUUUCACUAUUUUUUUCGUUCUUAAAUGGUCGAUGACCCCAUCUGAAAUUUCGCACAUGUCAUUAUUGAUAAUCUAACUAUGAGAUAUUAAAAAAUUAUUUUUUUCUGUUGCGCAGACAUUCGCGACCGAGCCUCCUUAAUUCAAAGUUCAA
Molecule: long non-coding RNA, 385 nt
Organism: Venturia canescens
Lineage: Eukaryota; Metazoa; Arthropoda; Insecta; Hymenoptera; Ichneumonidae
Exons: 2
Source: RefSeq, a predicted model, not a curated record